RNAcentral lists this ribosomal RNA (253 nucleotides) under uncultured bacterium. RNAcentral's name for it is "partial 16S ribosomal RNA". It matches the Rfam family "Bacterial small subunit ribosomal RNA", at positions 524 to 776 of the family's 1533-position model. The record is from RNAcentral.
UACGAAGGGGGCGAGCGUUGUUCGGAUUUACUGGGCGUAAAGGGCGCGCAGGCGGCUUUGUUUGUCAGGCGUGAAAGCCCCGGGCUUAACCUGGGAACUGCGUUUGAUACGGCAGGGCUAGAGUUCGGGAGAGGAGAGUGGAAUUCCCAGUGUAGAGGUGAAAUUCGUAGAUAUUGGGAAGAACACCGGUGGCGAAGGCGGCGAGCUGGUCCAUUACUGACGCUGAGGCGCGACAGCGUGGGGAGCAAACAGG